This 431-nucleotide ribosomal RNA is filed under the name Parvimonas micra. RNAcentral's name for it is "bacterial SSU rRNA". It matches the Rfam family "Bacterial small subunit ribosomal RNA", at positions 28 to 442 of the family's 1533-position model. The record is from RNAcentral. Lineage: Bacteria; Bacillati; Bacillota; Tissierellia; Tissierellales; Peptoniphilaceae.
GACGAACGCUGGCGGCGUGCUUAACACAUGCAAGUCGAACGUGAUUUUUGUGGAAAUUCUUUCGGGAAUGGAAAUGAAAUGAAAGUGGCGAACGGGUGAGUAACACGUGAGCAACCUACCUUACACAGGGGGAUAGCCGUUGGAAACGACGAUUAAUACCGCAUGAGACCACAGAAUCGCAUGAUAUAGGGGUCAAAGAUUUAUCGGUGUAAGAAGGGCUCGCGUCUGAUUAGCUAGUUGGAAGGGUAAAGGCCUACCAAGGCGACGAUCAGUAGCCGGUCUGAGAGGAUGAACGGCCACAUUGGAACUGAGACACGGUCCAAACUCCUACGGGAGGCAGCAGUGGGGAAUAUUGCACAAUGGGGGGAACCCUGAUGCAGCGACGCCGCGUGAGCGAAGAAGGUUUUCGAAUCGUAAAGCUCUGUCCUAUG